ACAACUCCUCUAAUUCUUUCUCCUUCGCACACUCUGCAAGUUCAGUGAGUUUUACAAUUCGUCUGGGCUUCUUUGGAUCCUUUGAGUAUGAGAUUUUUCCUCUGUCUAUGUUCAUAUUUCUUAUAUGAAUUCUGUCUUUUGUGAUUUUUCAUUCUGUUUGCCUCAAUUUUCGAGUGUCUAUUGUGUUUAUUAAAUUUUAUAAGUUUUCUCCCCAAUUUUUUUCUCCUUAUGUUGUGUACUGGAUUUCACUUCUGGAUUUCUUUGAAAGUUUUGUCUAUUUUUGUUCGAUGUUGGUUUCUCUAUUCUUUUGAAUAAUUUCUUGCUAGAUUUUCUAUCUCAUUUUGAUAUGCAUGUCUGGAAAGAAAUAUCUAGGUGCAUUGCACCACAUAUACUAGCAUUCUCAUAAAAAGAAAUACCUAAGUGCAUGCUCUUUGUGUUCUGAUCUUGAUUGUGUAAAUUGGGGUAUUUAGUGGAAAAAAUUUUUUCUUUAAAGGUUCUGAUUAAGGGUGAAAUAGGUUGUAUUAUCGAAUUAUGAAUUAUUUUCGGAGUAAUUUCAUAUUUGAUCUUUAUUCGAAGUAUGUAUACUGCUUUAAUGGCAGACUUGAGUGCUACAGGUGUCAUGAGCAGCUUCCUUCUUUCAUUUGUUCUCUUUCAGGACAUUCUUAAGUUUUCAGAUAAGAGGGUUGAUGAUUCAUUUUUCCUCCAUAUUUCGCAAAAGUUCAUUUGAUUGCAGUGCAAAGCUAUCCGCAUAUGGAAGAAGAUUUGUAAGGGGAAAAAAGUAAGUUUUAGUCAUCCUGUGUGUUUUUGUCUUCCUUACUGCUCUUGGCCAUGGAUUCUUGAUUCAUUUCAAAAUUUCUAUUGUGGUUUCCCUUUGUAUGUGGAUUUGCUGAUUUUUUUUCUCUUUUUCUUAUUGAUGAGCAUUUAGAUGUUCGAUUCUAUUUUUGAUAAGAUUAUUGAUUUACAAUUUUCACUCGCUCUCUGAAAGUAUCUUUGCAUUUCGCUUUGUUUUUCUUUUUAAUACUCCUACAGAGUAUGUGAUUUUGAAUAUUUGUUUGCUUUUUCUCUUUCUUCAUGUAUGUAGUUAUUUGUUAGAACUCUUCUAUGGAAGCACUGAAUGUUCAUCAAGAAUAAAUAGUAGUAACAAAAAUGGAAGAACUUUGAUGCAACAAAAGUGUUUGACAAUAAACCUGAAACAACUGAAAGAGCUUUUAUUCCUCUUUUUUCAGUUGUUCUAUAACAUAAAUAUACUAUCAUUUAGCAACUCCAAAUCUAUAUUACUUUUACUAGUAUUAAGAGAAAGCAAUGAGAGUUCUAAUCAUCAAACCGUUCCGACACACGGUUUAAAACUAGAGUCACCCCUAGGCGCCACACCUCAUAAUGACAAAUCCCGAGUCACAAAUCACAAAUCAAAUACACAUGGAAUCUCAUGCCCCCAUUAUCAAUCACCUUCGCACGGCUAAGAUCUCGUUCUAUAGUAUAACUCACAACCGUACGGACAACUCAUGUAUUUCCUAGACAACUCGCGUGCCAAUAUCACAAUCCACCCAGCAUGGUCACAUGCUCAAUAUCACAAUCCACCCGGUGUGGUCACAAGAUCAAUAUCGCAAUUAGCCCGGUGUGAUCACGGGCUACCAUUCCAAACCAUAUCGCAGAAAAACUAGAUAUACAAUAAUACAUGUACAUUAUCAAUGAACAUCAUGUUUUAUACUCCUGGACCGGUAUAAAUGACAUGUUACAGUAUAUGCAUGUACAAGUGUAAUAUCACAGCUCAAAUCAUCAAGUAAUAUCAUAAACAUUGAGUAGCACAUUGGGAACAACAAAACAAGUCACGUAAUAUGCAUGACAUGCACAAGAAAGUCAAAAACAACAACCAUAAUACUCGUCUUUCAUCAACAACAUGCCCCUAAGACAUCACAUAACAUCCCCAUAUCGCCACCCUUAUCUCACUAUUUUGACAAUAUCAUAAUAGCCACAUGUAUCGCUCCACUCGGACAAUAUAUCAAUAGCCACUCGUAUCCCUCCGCCCCGACAAUAACACAAUAGCCACCCUUAUCACUCCGCCCAGACAAUAACACAAUAGCCACAAGUAUCACUCCACCUAGAAAAUAACACAAUAGCCAUUUGUAUCACUCCGGUCGGACAGAAUAUCAAUAGGCACUAGUAUCACUCCGCACAAUCAACAAUAGUGAAAUGACACCCUUAUGAUCUGCACAAUCAACAAUAGUGAAGUGCCACCCUUAUGCUCCACACAAUAAUGAUCAAUCCCCACAACAUGUCCACAUAUGCCACAAUAUUUCCAAAACAACGAUACCAAUAUCAUAAUAAAGCAUAGCCCAUGGCUCAACAACAAUGUGUACUAGAAUUUCAAAAACAACAAAAUGAAAUGGGAAAUAAGUUGAAAAUAAAAGAUAUUUCAUAUAACAACAACUUCAAUUAAAAGCAUAUGAAUAACCUAAGGGUCCAAAACGAUCAAUUCCAUAUAUAAGAUCGGGUACAAACGUGUCACCCUGUAUACACGACUUUUACAUAAUUCAAAUAAUGCAAUUAGACCAAAUCUUGUAAGAUAGAUUCCUCCACACAAAGUUAGGCAAGAUAUUUAUCUUAAAAAAUAAAAUCAAUCCACUAAUAAGCCUUUUCUACGUGAAACAACCUCUGAACAGCUCGAAUCUAGUCAAAAUAACAUAAUUUCAUAUAUAAAAGCCAUAGAAAACAUUUUUCGAAUAAUAAAGAUUCGAUCUUGAACAAGAAUCAAAAAUUUUACCUUGGUUCUGCACCUUGGAACCCAACAAAACUUACAAAUUCUAAACACAUAUUCAAAUUCGAGUUCAACCAUACCAAAAUCAUCCAACUCCGACCUCAAAUCAGCCUUCAAAUUAUCAAUUUAUGUUGUAGAAAAGUUUUUACUAAAAUUCCCAAUUUCUCCAAUUUAAAACAUCAAGCAAACACUAAAAUCGAGGUUAGAAUCAUGAAAUAUAAAUAAAUCCGAGUCAAACACUUAUCCCAUUCCUAAUAUUGACCAGGGGUCCUCUUCGAGAUCGCGGGACUUGCUUCGCUAUAGUAAAGAGCAAAUCAUAAGAUUCCAAGAUUCCCUCUACGCGAAUGCAGUGUGAAGCCCGCGAAUGAGACCCCUCAGCUAAUCUAGCUUAUGUGAACACAACCUCAGUAUGUGAAUGCAAAGGCCAACCAUUGGCGCCCCUUCCUGCUCUGCCUCUACACGAUCGCGACACAAGGAACAUGAACGUUAUGAACAUCUCCCCUCCAGGUUCCGUGAAUGCGAAAACCGAAUCACAGAUGCGAUGAGCAAGUACUCAGCCACCCAAAAUACACUUCACAAUCGCAUAUUGCCUUCCUCAAUUGCGACGAACUGUAGAACAUCAGAAAAACCAGCAAUUCCAAAACAUGAAGAAAUGGCUCGUAGCCCAUCCGAAACACACCUGAGGCCCCGAGACCCCAUCCAAUCACACUAACCAAUCUCAAAACAUAAUAGGGACCUACUCGAUACCUCAAAUCACACCAAAAAUUAUCAAAACUAUGAACCACACCUCAAUUCAAGCCUAAUGAAUAAAUAAAAUUUCAACUUCCAAAGUUCAUGUCGAACUAUAUGAAAUCAAUUUGGAAAAACUUAAAAUUUUGCAUGCAAGUCCCAAAUGAUACAACAGACCUAUACCAACUCCGGAAAUCAUAAUCUGAACUUGAUAUGAACAAAGUCAACUCUCAAUCAAACCUAUCAACCUUACAAACCUUUUACUAUUCAACUUUCGCCAAUUCAAGCCAAAACAACCUAAGAGCCUCAAAAUCCACCUCCGGACAUACGCCUAAGUCAAAAAUCACCAUUUGGACCUAACAGGGCCAUCAAAACUCUAAUCCAAGAUCAAAUAUGCAAAAGUCAAACUUGGUCAACUCUUUCCAAUUAAAGCUUCUAAAAGAAGAAUUAUCCUUCUAAAUCCAUCCCAAACUGCUCAAAAACCCAAAACCGAACACGCAAAUUUUAAUACAUCAUAUGAAUCUACUCUCAACCUCGAACCGCUGAACAAAAAUCCAAAUGAUCAAAAUGACCAGUAAGGUCAUUACAGAUGUGGUACAGAAUAUUUUUCUCCUGUGUUAUAAGGACAUACUACUAUAGUCACCCUUGGGAGGGCUAGCCGUCUAUUGCAUCCCAAGUGCUAGUGUUUCCCAGGGGUUCGAGGCAUGAUACAAUGUAUUGUGAUAAUUCAUGCAUCGGUCUUGAUGCGGUGUUAGUGCAUAAUAGUAGAGUGAUUACUUAAGUUUGCAGCAGCAGCGGUCCUAUGAGAAGGAUUAUCCACUUUAUGAUUUGGAGCUUACAUCUAUUCCAAUAGAGGAGAGGCAUUUGGUUAUGGAUGUUUAGACUAUGGUCGAUAGAUUUGCGACUAUUUCUGAGCUUAAUAGAGUUCUCACUUGUAUUGCUGCGCAAUCAUCCUUGUUUGACCAUAUUAAGGAUAUUCAGUAUGAUGGUUUCCAUUUGUUUUUCCUUAGGAACAAGAUUGGGGAGGUAGUGCUAAGGAGGUAAUCCUUACUAUGGACGGUGUGGUGCGACUUCUGGGUCGAAUUUGUGUUUUCAGUGUUAAUGGUUCGAGAGAUUGAUUCUUGAGGAGGUUCGUAGUUGUGGUAUUUUAUUCGUACAGGUGAUACAGAGAUGUAUCAUGAUUCGAGCUAGCAUUAUUGGGGCAGCUGAUGAAGAAGGACAUUAUUGGGCAUGUCUCAUGGUGUUUGAUUAUCAACAAGUUUAGAAUGAGCAUCAUUGGUCGAGUGGUUUACUUUGAAAGAUAGCUAUACUGGUGUGGAAGUGAGAGCAUCCAAAUCCACUACUAAAAUGUAAAUGGACAUGGUCGCAUGUAAUAUAAUAUACCCAACUAUGAGUCGGGAUCGAAUCCCACAGAGAACAAUAUGUAGGCGAUUAGGAAUGUAAGAGAAUUAUCACUUGUUAUGCAAUGUCAAACAUUAAGAAUAGAUUUGAGAAAAGAUUUAUAUCUAAAAGCGGAAAUGUAAACUAACCUAGAAAGCAAGUAAAAUGAUCAACGGCUACAAGUAUGGAUGCAUCGGGAAUUACACACAAGUAACGAUCUAAUGUAUUUCAUGAUUUUACAAAUAUGAGCGAGUUUAUUUUAAUUAGCCACGGGUAAUAAUUCUAUAUUAGCUUCUUCCAAAGACUAACAAGACUUCCUAAUUGAAUUAUCCCUUAAACCAAUUAAGAGAUUAAGCACACCCGAUUAUGGCUACAAGUAGUUCAAUCAUAUCCCUAAGUAGAAUCUAUAAAAUGAGGGUUUAAGCCUUAAGUUCUUGUUAAUUAAUCUUUCCCAACCCCAAUAAUUUUUCGCAAAAUUAAUUAGGAGUUAAUGGGCAAGUCCUAGGGUUAGCUAAUCCCUUUGGAAACACUAAAGAACAAGAAUAAUUAAAGAAACAAUAACUCACUUCAUAAAAAGAUAAAAAUUAUUCAAUACAUAAACACAACAAGGUAUUUAAUUCACACUUUAAAUCUGAUUAUUUCCAUAAACAAGAUUCAAAUGUUAAAUAAAAUACUACACACUAAGAUAUUCAAUACGAAGCAAAGAAUGAAGAAAUGAACAUAAAUGGGUAAGAAAUUCUCAAACAAUAGCUUCAAAUCUUCAAGACCCAAGUGUGUGUACAAACCCUAGCUCCCAAAACUUGUUCUCUCUAGUGUUUGGAACUGAAAAUAAGCAAAAACAAUCUUUACAAAUGAGAUGGUUUGUGUAUUAAAUGGUUUGGAGUCAGAGUUGUGAAUUUCUAGAACUACCCAGUUUUUUUGCCUAGUUUCUUCUUCGCGUUCGUGACUACACCCUCGCAUUCGCAAAGGUUUGUUUUCCAAAAGCUUUGCGUUUGCGUCUGAACCUUCGCGUUCGUGAAGGUUUGAGUUCUGAUGCUUCGCGUUCGCAUUAGGUACUUCGCAUUCGCGAAGAUCUAGUUUCCUACUUCUUCGCGUUCGCGAAGGGUAAAUCGCUGGGCAGGUUCUCAUUAUCCAUUUUAGCUCCUUUUUGACUUGUUUUCACUUGGUUUCUUCACCACUACUCCUAAUUCACAUACAACCUGUAAAAUAGAAGUAAAUGACAUCAAACACAUGAUUUUAUCACUCAAACAUAGCAAAAAUAUAGGCUUAAAGACAAGAUAAGUUGGUAAAAUACCAACUUAUCAAACCCCCAAACUUAAACUAUUGCUUGUCUUCAAGCGAUGAAAGCGACAAAAUCUCCUCGCAAGUAUUUAACUCAAUAAUGCAUCCAUAUCAUGCCAAGCCAAAAAGGUCUACUAUAAGCACAAACACAUGACUUCGAUUGGUACCAAUAAUUAAUCCAAACCAUAUGAAUUACCAAACAUUGCUCAUGAACUUCAUUAUAUUUCAAGUGCUCAAACACUACAAAUCAAAGUAGCAAUCAAGUCAUGACACUAAAGCUUCACAAUUUGCCUUUUUAUCACAAUUAACUUUCUUUGGUCAUUCCUUCCAAUUGAAAUGGGAUUAAAUUCAAAACUCAAAUCUCAUGGUCCCUCACAUUUAAAAGAGAAUCUCACACUCAUAAAUCUUAAUUCAAAACAAUAAUGGGAUAUCAAAUGGAAAGAAUUAACUCUCUCUCACAAAGAUGUUCCAAUGCAUACAAGUAGUACCAUAGGCUUGCCCUUCAUGUAUUUCUCCACUAAUAUAGACAACUUGGUUCAAAAUCAUUUAGGACUUAAAGGGUUGUGGUUUAGGCUUUUGGUUAAGGUAGGGCACAAUUUUGGUUAGAGUGACUCAAAACCUCCCCAAGCACUACAAUAUUUACAAUCAAAGUCCACUUCCUUCAAAAACAUUGUCCAUCAUUUCUUCACUUUUUUAUUCCACACCUAAUCUUCCCUUUAUUCAUAACUUCUUAUAAUUUAUUUUUUCUUCCUUCCUUUUCAAUAUCAAGGAAAGUUUCACUUUUUUUUUUAUUAUUACCUUCCACCUUUUAAGCAACUUCUAUAUCACAACUUUUUCAACCUUCACCCCCAAACUUAGGCUUUUAGCCUAUGUUUACACUUCCAAAGUACUUAGGGAGGUAGGUUGCCAAAAUCUAGAUUAAUAAAGAAUAAAGGAUUAAAGCUUGUAACAUGGCUGCCAAAGAACAAGGUUAAAGGCUCAAAAUGGGUUGACUAGGAAAAUAUUCAAGGGUAGGAAAUUUAAGGCACAAUAGCGGUCCAAAGAAGGCCUAAUAUUAUUUUUCAAAUCAAACUAGUCUAUGAUUUCUCCUUGAAGCACAUUCUGGGCAAGGUCUAGACUAAAAAUAAUGUAAAAGAACUCACAAUAAAUCUCACCACACAUGGCACAUGAACACUCAAGUGGAAUACAAAUCCAAAAUCCAAUUGAAACCAAUGACUCAAAGAGGUUACAUAUAUCAUAGGAAGCUAUUUAGUGAAUCAAAGAGCCAAAAAUUUUAGUCUAAAAGUCAUGACAAUGAUCUUUACUUGAAUUAUUUUUCUUUUUCAACGACCAAAAAUUCAUAUGCUGAGGUUUAAAUCAUGUUGGUACCAAGCAAGCCACAACUUGAUCAAUGGGCACAAACCCCAACUCAAACCACUUAUUCUUCUAAGAAAGUCGCCUAGUUAUCCAUCAUCGGGAAAAGUCGACAAAAAUUUACUAACAAUUACCCGGUUCAAAAAAAAUUUGCAUCCUCAGAAAAAGAACCGUGGUACAAAGAAAACCAAGGAAAUCGCCACCAAAAUACAGCAUACUAUAUAAACAAAAAAUUAAAAAGCUAGUAAACAUCAAGUCACUAAAACAUACUGUAUAUAAAAACAAAAAUUCAAGAAACUAGUAAACAUACUAAUAUAACACAUUACAUGAAAAUACAAUAACAAUUAAUAAACUAAAGCAUCGACCAAUCUACACAAAUUAUCACACAAAAAAGAAAAAAUUGUUCAUGCUCCACAUACAUCCAUCAUAUAUAAAUGAGUCACCCCCAACCUAAAGUGUUACACUGUCCUCAAUGCAACUAAUCAAAACAAGAUAAAAUGAAGGAGGUGCUCCCUGAAAAUGCAUCAGUCGGAGCUGGAGGUGGUGGGAAAAUUGAGCUCCAAAUCGGCAUCAUCAUCAUCAUCUUAUUCAUGUGACCCACAAAUGAACUCAGCUUGUACAUCAUCUUGGAUAGAAAUUUGCUUUUCUUCUUCUCAUGCUCCUUGAACUUCCUCUGCCUCUUCUCAAUCUUCCCUUGUCGGUGGCUCAUAUUCUCCAGCCUGGUGUUCAUGGUCUCCAUCUUGCCCGUGAUUGCUUGUUACUCUUUGACUACAUCAUCCAUGGAUGGUGGGGCAGCAGUGCUAGUAGAUGUGCUAGCUCCAGGUGGGCUAGUAGUAAGGCCAGCUAUAAGUUGUCGAAUAUGUGCAUCUACUCCAUGUAUCUGACUGGAUAAGUGGCGCAUAGUGUGCGGGCCGGACUAGAGUGGUCCCAUGGGGUCAAAUGACCCUAAUACAGGUGCAAAGGAUCCAGCAGGAUCAGUGGUGGCCUCAGAGAACUGCCCAAAUGAAGAGGAUGUAACAUCAAUUCUCCUCUUUUUCUACUUGUCACUGGGUCCCCUUUUCAGCAAAGGAUGCAUCGGGAAUUACACACACGUAACGAUCCAAUGUAUUUCAUAAUUUUACAAAUAUGAGUGAGUUUAUGUUAAUUAGUCACGGGUAAUAAUUCUAUAUUAGCUUCUUUCAAAGACUAACAAGACUUCUUAAUUGAGUUAUCCCUAAAACAAUUAAGAGAUUAAGCACACCUGAUUAUGGCUACAAGUAGUUCAAUCUUAUCCCUUGGUAGAAUCUAUAAAAUGAGGGUUAAAGCCUCAAGUUCUUAUUAAUUAAUCUUUCCCAAACCCAAAUAAUCUUUCCCAAAAUUAAUUCAGAGUUAAUGGACGAGUCCUAAGGUUAGCUAAUCCCUUUGAAAAUAUUAAAGAACAAGAAUAAUUAAAGAAACAAUAACUUACUUCAUAAAAAGAUAAAAAUCAUUCAAUACAUAAGCACAAUAAGGUAUUUAAUCCACACUUUAAAUAAGAUUAUUUUCAUAAACAAGAUUCAAGUGUUAAAUAAAAUACUACACACUUAGAUAUUCAAUAUAAAGCAAGGAAAUGAAGAAAUGAACAUAAAUGGGUAAGAAAUUCUCAACUAAUAGCUUCAAAUCUUCAAGAUCCAAGUGUGUGUGCAAACCCUAGCUCCCAAAACUUGUUCUCUCUAGUGUUUGGAACUGAAAAUAAGCAAAACAAAUUUUUACAAAUGAGUUGGUUUGUGUAUUAAAUGGUUUGGGGUCAAAGUUGUGAAUUUUCAGAACUGCCCAGUUUUUCUGCCUAGUUUCUUCGUCGCGUUCACGACUACACCCUCGCAUUCGCGAAGGUCAAUUUUCCUUAAAAUUUGGGUUUGCGUCUGAACCUUCGCGUUUGCGAUGGUUUAAGUUUUGAUGCUUCGCGUUCGAGUUAGGUACCUCAUGUUCGCAAAGGUCUAGCUUCCUGCUUCUUCACGUUCGCGUUGGACCUUCGCGUUCACGAAAGGUAAAUCGCUGGGCAGGUUCUCAUUAUCCAUUUUAGCUCCUUUUUGACUUGUUUUCACUUGGUUUCUUUACCAUUACUCCUAAUUUAAAUACAACCUGUAAAAUAGAAGUAAAUGACAUCAAACACAUGAUUUUAUCACUCAAACAUAGCGAAAAUAUAGGCCUAAAGACAAGAUAAUUGGUAAAAUACCAACUUAUCAGUAUGAUUAUAGGGUUUGUGGUAGGGUUGCCAUGGGUUUCAAGGAAGUUUGAUUCUAUUUGGGUCAUUAUGGACAAUUGAGGGCAUUUCAUAUUGCUGGUGAAUUCUUACAUUUUGAGAGUUCAAAUUUAACAAGAAGGAUUUGCUUGAGCUAUUAAAAGAUUGUGCAUGCUUGAUUAUCAUUCUUGUGUGCAAUGUUAUUUUGAAGUAGGUUUUGUUUAUAUGUCUUCUAUUUAUUCAUUGAUGGAAUGUAGUAUUUUUUUGUGUCCCAUGGUCGAGUAUAGACUCAGAAGAAUCAAUUGAUUACAUAGUGGUUAUAUUCGAAGCAAGGUCAUAUGAAGAUAUUGAUAUGAUGUCACACGGGUGGUCUAUCUCAUGUGAGAAGGUUAGAGGUUACAUGAUUCAUUAUGAGAUUCUUAUGAAGAGGUUUACCUUCUACCCGAUGGGAUGUAUGUGGUACGAUAUGAGUAAGGUUGAGUGUGAAUUGGGUUGAUAGUUUGGGUUGCGUUAUGGUUAGUGCAGCAUGGACUUACAAGAAAUUCAACUGAGUAAUCGUGUGGGAUCAUGGCAGUUAAAAAGAAGCAGCCGUAAUGGGUUCUUAUGUUAUGUGUUUAUGGCUUAAAGCCAAGUGGGGAGCCCACCAUUGGCGAUUAGGUCUCCUACCAUGUGUUGUUACAGAUUACAGAUUAAAGGGCGCUUGUGGAUUUGAUAUGACUUGAGGAUGAUGACUUCAAGGAUGAAUCGGUCUAGAAAUUUUUAGAUGUGUGUUAUAUUUGACUUAGUAAAAUAUGGAUACUGUGGAAGGACUCGGGUUCGAUAUUCUUUAAUGGAGGUAGUGUGAAAGGGAAAGGAUUCGCUCAAUUAUUUCUGUUGUGGUAUUCAUGCGAUAAUGGAGCACUAAUCAUUCGACAUGAUUGGCUUUGUAUUCAAGAUUAGGACUGAGAGGGUGUUCCUCGAGAAGGUUCUAAUAGAUUCAAGAUUAAAUAUGUGGUAUCUAAGGAUUUCUGGAUUUGGGCGUGACUAAGGAUUCAAGAUUUUACGUUGCAUUGUGAAAGAGACUUGGAGCAUUUCUGUAUUACUAUCAAUUUUGUGAGGCAGUGUUUGAGAGAUGGAAUAAAUAACUUCAGAUUCAUAGAAGACCUCUUUAGAGCAGGUAUUUUGGUUUGAAGUACUAUUUGGCAUAUAAGAGGGAAUAAAGUGGCUUACGAGUCUUAGGAUGAUGAUAUUUCAUGUUCGGAUCACUUGGGAUGAGUUUGAUGGAGGUCCAUAGUGUAUUGGGAAAGAGUACUGUUUCUGUAAAGGUGGAUCAUGAGUAAUCUAAAAAAAUUAGGUCCGAUUAGCUCGGUGACACCAGAUUUUGGAUAGUUUCAGUUGUAUUUAAUUAUGACUUCAGUUAUUAAUGCUAUUCCAUAGUUUGAGACUAUUUUUUAUUAUUUUUGGAUUUUAAUUCUGCAUAUCUAUUAUUGUCUUUCCUAGCAAGCAUUAUUAGGCACCAUCAUAACUCUAGAGGGAUUCUAGAUCGUAAAAAGUUGGUAUCAAAGCACUAGAAUCAUAUAGGUCUCACAAGUCAUGAGCAUACCUAGUAGAGUCUUGCAGAUCGGCAUGGAGACAUCUGUAAUUAUAUUUGAUAGGCUAUAGGGUUUAGGAACUUUCCCUUGCUUGAUUCCUUAUCGUGCAACUUUAUCUCGGCUUAAAGCAUGUAUCUUUAGUUCUUUCCUAUUCAUUAGUAUGUGAUGUUGAGUACUUGAUAUUAGUUGGGCAUCAACGAGUUGUUUUGAUGAUACAGAUGUGGUGCAGAAUAUAUUUUUCAUGUAUUAUGAGGACAUGCUACUAUUGUCGCACUUGGGAGGGGUUGUCGUCUAUUGCAGCCCCAGUGUUGGUGUUGCCCAGGGGUUCGGAGCAUUAUAUAAUGUAUUGUGAUAAUUCACACAUUGGUCUUAAUGCAGUGUUGGUGUAGAAGAGUAGGGUGAUUGCUUAAGUUUUCAGCAGCAUCAAUCCUAUGAGAAGGAUUGUCCAGCUUAUGCUUUGUAACUUGCAUCUAUUCCUAUAGAGGAGAGGCAUUUAGUUAUGGAUGUUCAGGCUUUGGCUGAUAUAUUUGCGAGUGUUUCUAAACUUAGUAGAGUUAUCACUUGUGUUGCUACACAGACAUCCCUGUUUGACCAUAUUUAGGAUCGCCAGUAUGAUUGUUUCCAUUUUCUUAUCCUCAGGAACACAGUUUUGGGAGGUAGUGCUAGGGAGGUAAUCCUUGGUGUGGAUGGAGUGGUGCAACUUCUGGGUUAGAUUUGUGUUAUUAAUGUUAAUGGUUCGGGAGAUUUAAUUCUUGAUGAGGGUCGUAGAUGUGAUAUUCUAUUUGUCCAAGUAAUACAGAAUGUACCAUGAUUUGAGCCAGCAUUAUUAGGGCAGAGGAUAAAAACGACAUUACUAGGCAUGUCUCAUGGUAUUUAAUUAUCAACAAGUCAAUAAUGAACAUUAUUGACCCAGUGGUUUACUUUGAGAGAUAGCUAUACUAGUGUGGAAGUGAGAGUGUAUCAUUAUGGGGUUUGUGGUAGGGUUGCCACGGGUUUUGAGGAAGUUUGAUGCUAUUUGGGUCAUUAUGGACAAUUGAGGGCAUUUUGUAUUGGUGGUGAUUUCAUACGCUUUGAGAGAACAAAUUUAACAAGAAGGAAUUGCUUGAGCUAUUAAAAGAUUGUGAAUACUUGACUAUCAUUUUGGUGUGAAAUACUAUUUUGAGGUAGGAUUUGUGAUAGGUAUUCUAUUUAUUCAUUGAUGGAAUGUAGUAGUUUUUUGUCGCCCGUAGUCGAGUAUAUACUUGAAAGGAUUAAUUGAUUACAUAGUGGUUGUAUUGGUAGCAAGGUCAUAUGAAUAUAUUGAUAUAAUGUCAUAGGUGGGCUAUCUCAUGUAAGAAGGUUAGAGGUGGCAUGAUUCAAUAUGAGAUUCCUAAAAAGAGUUUUACCUUCUACCCAGUAGGAUGUAUACGGUACGAUAUGAGUCUGAAUCGGUUGAAGAAGAUGGUACGACUACCACAAGGUUGAGUAUGCAUUAGGCUGAUAAUUUUCGCUGCGUUAUGGUUAGUGCAGCAUGGGCUUAUGAGAAAUUCAGUUGAGUAACCGUGUGGGAUCAUGGAAGUUAAAGAGGAGCAGCCAUUAUGGAAUAAUAGGAUAUGUCAUUAUGGCUUAAAGCCAAGGGGGAGCCCAUCAUCGCGAUUGGGCCACCUAGCCAUGUGUUGUUAUAGAUUCUAGACUAAAGGGUGCUUGUGGAUUGGAUAUGACUUAAGGAUGAUGACUUCAAGGAUGAAUCAGGCAAGAAAUUUUUUGGAUGUGUGUUAUAUUUGACUUGGUGAUACAUGGAGGUUAAGGAAGGAUUCAGAUUCGAUAUUCUUCAAUGGAGGUAGUGUGCAAGGGAAAAGAUUCACUCAGUUGUUUUUGGUAGAGUAUUUAUGUGCUAAUGUAGCACUAAUCAUUCCACAUGAUUAGCUAUGUAUUCAGGACUAGGACAGAGAGGGUGACCCUCGAGAAGGUUCUAAUGGAUUCAAGAUAAAAUAUGUGGUAUCUAAGGAUUUCCGGAUUUGGGUGUUACUAAGCAUUCAAGAUUUUACUUUGGAUUGUGAAAGAGACUAGCAGCAUUUCGGUAUUAUUAUCAGUUCUGCAAGGCAGUGUUUGAGAGAUGGAAGAAAUAAAUUAAGAUUCAUUUUAGGCCUCUUCAGAGCAUGUAUUUUGGUUUGAGGUAUUAUUUUGUGUAUAAUAGGGAAUAAAGUGGCUUACGAGUUUUAGGAUGACGAGAUUUCAUUUUUGGAUCACUUGGGAUAAGUUUGAUGGAGGUCCAUAUUGUAUUGGGAAAGAGUAAUGUUGUCGUGAAGGCCGAUCAAGAGUAAUCUGAAGAAAUUGAGUCCGUUUAGCACUCGGUGAUACUUGAUUUUGGAUAGUUUCAGUUGUAUUAUAUAAUGACUUAGUUAUUAAUGUUAUUCCACAGUUUGAGACUAUUUCUUAUUGUUGUUGAAGUUUAGUUCUGCAUAUCUAUUAUUGUCCUAGCAAGCAGUGUUAGACAUCAUCAUGGCUCCAAUGGGAUUCUGGGUCGUAACAAGUUGGUGUCAAAGCACUAGAAUCAAAUAGUUCUCAAAAGUAAUGAGCAUACCUAGUAGAGUCUUACGUAUCGGCAUGAAGACGUCUGUAAUUAUAUUUGAUAGGCUAUAGGGCUUUAGGAACUUUCCCUUUCUUGAUUCCUUAUCGUGCAACUUUAUCUCGGCUUAAUAUAUGUAUCUUUAGUUCUUUCCUAUUCAUUAGUAUGAGAUAUCGAGUACUUGAUAUCAGUUGGGCAUCGGCGAGUUGUGUUGAUGAUAUAGAUGUUGUGCAGAAUAUUUUUUCCAUGUGUUAUGAGGACAUACUACUAUUGUCGCCCUUGGGAGGGGUUUCUGUCUAUUGCAGAACAAGUGUUGGGAUUUCCCAGGGGUUCGGUGCAUUAUACAAUGUAUUGUGAUGAUUCAUAUGUCGGUCUUGAUGCAGUGUUAGUAUAGAAUAGUAGGGUGAUUGCUUAAGUUUGCAACAACAGGGGUCCUAUGAGAUUUAAUAUCCAGUUUAUGAUUUGGAGCUUGCAUCUGUUCCAAUAGAUGAGAGGCAUUUGAUUAUGGAUGUUCUGGCUUUGGUCUAUAGAUUUGCAAGAUUAGGUAUUUUUGAGCUUAUUAGAGUUCUCAUAUGUGUUGUUGCGCAGUCAUCCUUGUUUGACUGUAUUAAGGAUCGUCAGUUUGAUGGUUUUAAUUUGUUUGUCCUAAAGAACGCAAUUUUGCAUGGUAUUGCUAAGGAGGUAAUCCUUAGUGUAGAGGGUGUGUUGCGACUUCUGGGUCAAAUUUGUGUUUUUAGUGUUAAUGGUUCGAGAGAGUUGAUUCUUGAAGAGGGUUGUAGUUGUGGUAUUCUAUUCGUCCAGGUGAUACAAAGAUGUAUCGUGAUUUGAGCCAGCAUUAUUAGGGCGAAGGAUGAAGAAGGACAUUACUGGCACGUCUCAUAGUGUUUGAUUAUCAACAAGUCGAGACAUUGACUGAGUGGUUUACUUUGAAAGAUGGCUAUACUGGUGGGGAAGUGAGAGCGUUGAUUAUGGGGCUUGUGGUAGGGUUGCCACUGGUUUCGAUGAAGUUGAUACUAUUUGGGUCAUUAUGGACAAUUGAGGGUAUUUCAUAUUAGUGGUGACUGCAAACAUUUUGAGAGUUCAAGUUUAACAAGAAGGAUUUGCUUGAGCUAUUAAAAGAUUAUGAAUGUUUGAUUAUCAUCUUGGUGUGCAAUACUAUUUUGAGGUAGGAUUUGUUGAUAGGUCUUAUAUAUAUUCAUUGAUGGAAUGUAGUAGUUUUUUGUGGCCCGUGGUCGAGUAUAGACUCGGAAGGAUCAAUUGAUUACAUAGUGGUUGUAUUUGAGGCAAGGUUAUAUAAAGAUAUUGAUAUGAGGUCACAUAGGUGGGCUUUCUCAUGUGAGAAGGUUAGAGGUUUGCCUGAUUCAUUAUGAGAUUCUUAUGAAGAGUUUCACCUUUUAACCUAUGGGUUUUAUGUAGUACGAUAUGAGUCUGAAUCGAUUGAGGAAGAUAGCAUGACUGCCACAAGGUUGAGUGUGCAUAGGUCUGAUAAUUUAGGUUGCGUUAUGGUUAUUGCAGCACGGGCUUAUGAGAAAUCAGCUGAGAAACCACGUGGGAUCAUGGAAGCUAAAGAGGAGCAGUUAUUAUGGGUUCUUGGGUUACUCUGGCUUAAAGCCAAGUGGGGAACCUAACAUCGGCGAUUGGGUCACCUAGCCAUGUGUUGUUAUAGACUCUAGACUAAAGGGCUCUUGUGGAUUGGAUAUGAUUUAAGGAUGAUGACUUCAAGAAUGAAUUAGGCAAGAAAUUUUCUGGAUGUGUGUUAUAUUUGACUUAGUGAUAUAUGGAGGUUAUGGAAGGACUCAGGUUCGAUAUUUUUCAAUGGAGGCAGUAUGCAAGGGAAAGGAUUCGCUCGAUUUUUUUUGUUGGAGUAUUCAUGUGCUAAUGGAUCACUAAUCAUUCGACAUAAUUAUCUAUGUAUUCAAGACUAGGACUAAGGGGGUGACCUUCGAGAAGGUUCUAAUGGAUUCAAGAUUAAAUAUGUGGUAUUUAAGGAUUUCCGGAUUUGGGUGUGACUUAGGAGUCAAUAUUUUACGUUGGAUUGUGAAAGAGACUUGGAGAAUUUUAGUAUUAUUAUUAGUUCCAUGAGGCAGUGUUUGAGAGAUGGAAGAAAUAACUUCAGAUUCAUUGAAGGCCUCUUUAGAGUAGGGAUUUCGGUAUGAGUUACUAUUUGGUGUAUCAGAGGGAAUAAAGUGGCUUAUGAGUCUUAGGACGAUGAAAUAUAAUGUUCGGAUCACUUGGUAUGAGUUUGAUGGAGGUUCAUAGUGUAUUGGGAAAGAGUAAUGUUGUCGUGCAGGCGGAUCAUGAGUAAUCUGAAGAAAUUGGGUCCAUUUAACAAUCGAUGACACUAGAUUUUGGAUAGUUUCAAAUUGUAUUGUAUUAUGACUUCAGUUAAUAAUGGUAUUCCGCAGUUCGAGACUAUUUCUUAUUGUUGUUCAAGUUUAAUUAUGUAUAUUUAUUAUUGGCCUAGCAAGUAGUGUUAGAACCAUCAUGGCUCCCAUGGGAUUCUGGAUCGUAACAAGUUGGUAUCAAAGAACUAGAUUCAUAUAGGUCUCACAAGUCAUGAGCAUACCUAUAGAGUCUUAAGGAUCGGCAUAGAGACGUCUGUAAUUAUGUUUAAUAGGCUAUAGAGCUUUAGGAAAUUUUCCUUUCUUGAUUCCUUAUCGUGACACUUUAUCUCGGCUUAGAGCAUGCAUCUUUAAUUCUUUCCCAUUCAUUAGUAUGUGAUGUUGAGUACUUGAUAUCACUUGAGCAUCAACGAGUUGUGUUGAUGAUACAGAUUUGGUGGAGAAUCUUUUUCCUUGUGUUAUGAGGAUAUACUACUAUUGUCGCUCUUGGGAGGGGUUUCCGGCUAUUGCAGCCCUAGCAUUGGUAUUGCCCAGGGGUUUGGGGCGUUAUAUAAUGUAUUAUGAUGAUUCACACAUCAGUCUUGAUGUGGUGUUGGUGCAAAAAGGUAGGGUGAUUUCUUAAGUUUGUAACAACAGCAGCCCUAUGAGAAGGUUUAUCUAGUUUGGAGCUUGCAUCUGUUCUAAUAGAAGAGAGGCAUUUUGUUAUGGACAUUUAGGCUUUGGUCGGUAGAUUUGCGAAAUUGGGUAUUUCUGAGCUUAGUAGAGUUCUCACUUGUGUUAUUACGUAGUCAUCCUUGUUUGACUGCAUUAAGGAUCGUCAAUUUGAUGGUUCCAUUUGCUUGUCCUCAGGAACAUAGUUUUGGGAGUUAGUGCUAAGGAGGUAAUCCUUAGUGUGGACAGUGUGGUGCAACUUCUAGGUCGAAUUUGUGUUUUCAGUGUUAAUGGUUCAAGAGAGUUAAUUCUUGAGGAGGGUCGUAGUUGUGGUAUUUUAUUCAUCCAGGUGAUACGAGGAUGUAUCAUGAUUCGAGUCAGCAUUAAUUGAGCGGAGGAUGAAGAAGGACAUUACUGGCAUGUCUCAUGGUGUUUGAUUAUCAACAAGUCGAGAAUGAGUAUCAUUGACCGAGUGGUUUACUUUAAAAGAUAGCUAUUCUGGUGUGGAAGUGAGAGCAUAUAAUUAUAGGGUUUGUGGUAGGGUUGCCAUGGAUUUCAAGGAAGUUUGAUGCUAUUUGGGUCAUUAUGGACAAUUGAGGGCAUUUCAUAUUAGUGGUGACUUCUUACAUUAAGAGUUCAAAUUUAACAAGAAGGACUUGCUAUAGCUAUUAAAAGAUUUUGAAUGCUUGAUUAUCAACCUGGUGUGCAAUACUGCUUUGAGGUAGGAUCUGUUGAUAGGUCUUCUAUUUAUUUAUUGAUGGAAUGUAGUAUUUUUUCGUGGCUCGUGGUCGAGUAUAGACUCAGAAGAAUUAAUUGAUUACAUAGUGGUUGUAUUCGAAGCAAUGUCAUAUGAAGAUAUUGAUAUGAGGACACAUAGGUGGGCUAUCUAAUGUGAGAAGGUUAGAGGAUUCAUUAUUAGAGGUUGAGUGUUCAUUGGGCUGAUAAUUUGAGUUGUGUUAUGGUUGGUGUAGCAUGGACUUAUGAGAAAUUCAACUAACCAUGUGGGAUCAUGGCAGUUAAAAAGGAGGAGUUAUUAUGGGUUCUUAGGUUAUGUGAUUAUGUCUUAAAGCCAAGUGGGGAGCCCACCAUCAGUGAUUGGGUCACCUACCCAUGUGUUGUUAUAUAUUAAAGACUAAAGGGCGCUUAUGGAUUUGAUAUGACUUAAGAAUGAUGACUUCAAGGAUGAAUCGGGCAAGAACUUUUCUAGAUGUGUGUUAUAUUUGACUUAGUGAUACAUAGAGGUUAUGGAAGGACUCAGAUUCGAUAUUCUUCAAUGGAGGUAGUGUACAAGGGAAAGGAUUCACUCGGUUGUUUCUGUUAGAGUAGCUAUGUGCUAAUGGAGCACUAAUCAUUCCACAUGAUUGGCUAUGUAUUCAGGACUAGGACUGAGAGGGUGACCCUCGAGAAGGUUCUAAUGGAUUCAAGAUUAAAUAUGUGGUAUCUAAGGAUUUCAAAAUUUUGGUGUGACUUCAAGAUUUUACGUUGGAUUAUGAAAGAGACUUGGAGCAUUUCUGUAUUAUGAUCUGUUCUGCAAGGCAGUGUUUGAGAGAUGGAAGAAAUAACUUCAGAUUCAUAGAAGGCCUCUUCAAACAGGUAUUUUGGUUUGAGGUACUAUUUGGUGUAUAAGAGGGAAUAAAGUGGCUUGUAAGUCUUAGGACGACGAGAUUUAAUGUUCGGAUCACUUGGUAUGAGUUUGAUGGAGUUCCAUGGUGUAUUGAGAAAGAGUAUUGUUGCCGUGAAGGCCGAUCAUUAGUAAUCUAAGGAAAUUAGGCCCGUUUAGUAGUGGCUUGGAUCAGCAUGGUAAUAGAUUGAUUGGUCCCUUUGGUAUAAUAAGGCUUCAUAGGUGUUUUUGUGGUAAUAAUAUUUGGUUUGGCAGCCUGCAUGAUUUAGUUAAUUAUGCAAAUGGAUUCUAAAGAGUUUGUGAUAAUAUUGACGACGACUUACAGUUGGUGUCUUUUACAAGCAUGGGGAGUUAGUUGCAUGUUGUGAUUUUAUCCUGAAUUAAGACUAAGUAGAAGGUUUCUGAUCGAUGGACUAUGUACCAUAUUCGUGAUUCAGAGUUGAUAAUGGGAUAUUCAUAUUUUCGCAUAGUAGUGUGAUAGAUGUGGGGAGUUAUGUUGAACUGGGAUUGAUUGAACAAGAUUGUGAUUCAGUUUUGAAAGGAAGGUCAUGAGUUCUAGAUAGCGUGAGAGAUUUCAAAUGUUUGUAAGUAUGCUAGCACUAUCUUGUAUCGCUUGAGAAAGGUAUGUUUUAAGAAAGAUGCAUUGUGUAUUAGUUUGCGGAUGCUUGACUAGUACUACAGGAAUCACACAGUUGGUAGGCAUUGAUGUGUAGGUUUUGAUAGUUGGUGUAGAAUGUUAUGGGAGUAUCUCUCAUGGAGUGAUUGUGUAUGCUUUACGUAUUAGAUAUUUAAGUUGGAGAGUUAGAGAUCAGAUAUGGAGAUUCUGGUACUCUCGCAGUUUAGAGAUGUUAUUUCUGAGAGGCCGACUAUCCCUCUGGUUGCGGACUGUGGAAAUGUGUUCAGGAUUUGACGGUUGAUUGUAUGUGUCAUGGGUAGGCUCACUGUGAACACUUGGUAUAUUAUUUUCCUAUUCUUGAAUUAUCCGAAUUGGUUUGUAGGCCUAUUGGCAGGCCUAAUGAGAAUGUGUAUUUACACUGGAUUAGAUUUACUUAUUCAAAACAACAUUUUUUAUGGGUGUGUCAUCGGGCACAAUGGAUGUUAUUCAUGCUCUGGACUAUUUCAUAUAUUACUCCCAUAUGUUAUAAUAGAUUGUGAGAUGAUUGUGUAAUACACAUGUAGGUUGUGGGGUUGUUUAGGCCUUGUAGAUAUACGAGAGAGAUGGAUCUUGAAAUAUUGAUUUGCUGCACCGUAGAUGUGCUUGCUUUUUUGUUGAGCAUUAUGCUAUCUGCCUCCCCACGAUUAUGUUUAUGCACUUUACAUGCUUAUUGUUGAUGCACAUGUGUUGGGCGAAUAUGAGAAAUAUGGUUUAAUUCCUAUGUGGACUGAUAUGUGAGGAUAGGGUUGCAAUCGGCAACGGUAUUAUGUGUGGACCGGGUUGCAUGUCGUAAUGGAGUUAUAUUGUGUAACGACCCAAACCGAUGGGCCACGAUGGGUGUCUAANNNNNNNNNNNNNNNNNNNNNNNNAGUCCUACCUGUCAAACACCCCUAAACAUGCGUCUAGGAUAUGAACCUGUAUAAUAUCUACUGCAUUACAAAAUUGACAUACGAGAAGGAAAACUGCCAUCAAGGCAUAUGUACGUAUACAUGCAGAAUAUAGUGGGCGAGCCGCCAAGGCUGCUAUAGACAACUAUAAAUCCAAAACUGAAAGCCGACAAGGCUACAUACAUCCCAACUAGACAUACUGUCCAUAGACCUCUAAUAGAAACAUAAUUGAACAAAGACGUGACUGAGCCACGUCAUACCCAUAUACCUAUAUAUAUACAAACAUAUCGUACCAACAUCAAAAGUAGCUCCGGAUCAAAUGGAGCACGCCAACUCUCGCUGAUCAGGGAUCCUAAGAAGGGGGACCUUCAGCUUUCCUACCUGCACCUGCGGGCAUGAAAUGCUAGCCCCGUGAAAUAGGGCGUUAGUACGAAAAAUGUACUGAGUAUGUAAGGCAACAGAAUAACUGAAAGCUGAAACUGAACUGAUAAUAUAAUAAUUGAAAGUAACUAAGAGUCAAAGAUAAUCUAAAGAUAUGUUUACCUGAUGAUAUUGACUCAAUUCUCUUAAUAUAGUAAGUAAAAUAGUUGUCCGGCCCUAUAAGGCUCGGUAUAUAUAUAACUGCUUUGCCGUAGUAGGAUUGUUCAUAGGCGCUCGGCCAUACUAGGCUCUGUAUCUCGGCCAUGCUAGGCUCGCUCAUAGGCGCUCGAUCACAGUAUGCUCGGUAUAUAACUUUCCAUCUGAUCAGAGGUUUCCUAAUAGGGGUCUGCCCAUCGAUUAUAGCUCGAUGGUAAUGAAGAUACUAUAGUACUGUAUAUAUAGGCUCUCUGCUUUCUUGACUGGAACAAGAUAAUACUCAAUUUAAUAAGAAGUCCCGAUAAGGGAGAAUACUGUAAUUUAUGAGAGUAGGAAAUGUACAUAAAUUCAAGAAUAUGAAUUUCUCUUUAUGCCUCGUUAUCAAACUCGUGUAAUGACGAGAUCAUGCCAAAUGAAAGAAGAGAUUAACCUUAACAUACAUGUUCCUUGAAUUAUUUGAACGAAUCUGCUUCUGCAAAAUUCUUGAACGAAAUUUAUACUUGGAUCUGCUUCUAGCGUUUUGGGCUUGGAUUGAAAUUUAAAUUGGACGAAUUUGGUUUCUAAUGUUUUUUUUUUUUGAAUAAAGGUUGGCCAAGGAGUUGAAUUGUUGAAUGUUUGA
RNAcentral lists this long non-coding RNA (21168 nucleotides) under Nicotiana tabacum (common tobacco). RNAcentral describes it as "long non-coding RNA (NTAB_LNC000507)". Lineage: Eukaryota; Viridiplantae; Streptophyta; Magnoliopsida; Solanales; Solanaceae. The record is from RNAcentral.